GCGUGGCAGCGCAGCACCACGGCCUUGUGGCGCGCCUGGUGGCGGUAGACCCAGGCGAAGACGCGCGGGUGGCGCCCGUCCGCUGUGCAGUAGGUGAUGCGCGGCAGCAGUAAAUAUUCACUAAGAGCCUACUACGUGCCAGGCCCUGUGCUGGGGCCUCUGAGGCAAACAGGACGUGAUUCAGGAUGUGAUCCUCAUUCUCCAAUCCAGAACCUUACAGAGGAGAUUUGAGCCUGAAUUUCAUCUGCAGUCCUCUCUAGCACAUGGGUUUGUUAUCUCUCUUCCAGUCCUGACAGGUGAUGGUCACACGGUUUGGUGACUUUUCAGCAGUUUCUUUUACUCUGACAUGCCUCUGCUCAAAAGCUCCGUGCUGCUUACAGAAGAGAGUCCGGACUCCACAGUUCCUGGAACCUAAGUUUUUUGAUACAAAUUUAUUGAAAUAUUGAAAGGACCGCCAUGAUCUUGCUCUAAUGUGUCUUUUCAGCCUUUUUCCCCACUACCUCUCCCUGACCCUGGUGGAAUCUAUUUUUCUGUAACUCAACUGGUGCAUUUUUUAGGAACCUCACGUUAUCAAACUGUGUUGUUUAAUAAUAAUUGUUUCAAUAGAAAAAUAAUAAAGGCUAGAGUGUUUCAGUUUUGGGUUUUUUUUUUUGUUAAUUAAUUAAUUUAUUGGCUGCUUUGGGUCUUCGUUGCUGUGCGCGGGCCUUCUCUAGUUGCAGCGAGUGAGGGCUACUCUUCAUUGCGGUGUGCGGGCUUCUCAUUGCAGUGGCUUCUCUUGUGGUGGAUCACGGGCUCUAGGCGCGUGGGCUUCAGUAGUUGUGGUACGCGGGCUCAGUAGCUGUGGCUCACAGGCUGUAAAGCGCAGGCUCAGUAGUUGUGGUGCAUGGGCUUAGUUGCUCCGCAGCAUGUGGGAUCUUCCUGGACCAGGGCUUGAACCAGUGUCCCCUGCAUUGGCAGGUGGAUUCUUAACCACUGUGCCACCAGGGAAGUCCCAAGAAUGUUUCAGUUUUUAAACACUGAGAGUUGUCUUUGGCUGCUCAUCAGACCCUCCUCUCUUCCAGUCCCAAUCUCCAGCCUCUAGACCACAAGGGUGAGCACACGUCCCAGAUUGGGCAACCAUAUUAUCCUAUCUCUUGGCCACAGUGAUUGGUCCAGGCAAAGACAUAUGACCCAAGACAGCCAAUGUGAGGUCUUCCCUGAGAUUUUUCCCUUGUCGUCCACCUGCCUCCCCACCCUGCCCCAGUUCUUUUUGCACGAUGAAGAGCUUAACCUGAUACUUCUUGCAACUAUGAUCUAAUGGAAAGGAGAAAGACUAAUGGUGCUAGGAGAGACUGAAGCAAACCGGCAGAGGAAAGCAAAGGAGGGGAGGAGGGAGAGGGGAAGGGGAGAAAAGAAGAGAAUGAAUAAAUACCGAUGAAUUUGAGCCCUGGAUCCAUGUGUCCUAGAGGCCAGCUUCACCACUAUGCUUUUCCUACUUAGAAUAUUGGGUCUAUAAUUCUUCCGUUUUGGCUUAAGCUAGUUUGCGUUGGGUCUGGCUAGGACUACAACAAGGCAAGCUUGCUUGUAUGCUCCAGAGAAUGAGUGUCCUUAAAUUUGUACCCUAGACUCCUCACUGCCUAGUCUUGGCCUGAGUUAAGUUUCAAUGACUUGUAACUGAAUGAAUUCUUGGCUAAUAAAAACUCUGCUUAUAUUUUGUAAUUGCAAGUUAGAAACAUAUUAGUUUCUAUUUGAUCAACGUAUGAGUUGAUCAAAUUAGCCAAAUACAUUUAAAUAUUAAUGAGAAUAUCCUGAAGAACACAGACAACUGGGUCAAAGCCAGUGGAUUUCUAGGCUAAGAAAGUAAUCUGUAGCCCAUUUCACAACUGCUAACCACUGGCUUGGUUAUAACAGAAGCUGUGAAUUAGAAAACAUGAUUGUAUUGGUUAUAACUCGGUCAUAUAUCAUUUGUAACCUUCUCAGAGCUCCUGUCACUCUGACUUGUCUUAUGGCUGGUAGAAUGGACGCUGAGAAUUCAUUCCUCAUUCCUCGGGUAACAGUGCCUAGAACAGUGCUUGUUGCAUGGAAGGCACUCAGUUGGUAUUUGUUGGAUUGAACUGAACAGCACUUGAUCUCUGGACACCUCUCUCCUCAUACACGUCUAAUAGCGGGUAUGUCACUUCUAGGCUAGUCAGUGCUUUUCCUCCCCUGGCUUCAGUGAUUAGCUCAGGGAUGGAUACACGACCCAAGGCAGUCCAUGAGACUCAGAUUCCUGGACUUUUCUUGAAACUAGUGGGAACGAAAAGUCCUCUUCCACUGGGGUUGCAAAGCUAUGAGGAUGUGGUUCUGGGGAUCCCAGUGGCCAUUUUAUGACCUGGAGAAUGACUGUCAAAGAAUGGAACUAACAGAGGAAUGAGACAGAGAAAGGUGAGUACUAAUUACAUUGAUUUGAGUCCCUGUGGGGUGGGGGGGGCAGCUGUGGCUCACUCUGGGGACAUAGACACUGGCAGCAGCCAUAUUUGAGAGCUUUGGUCACUGCUGCCCACAUCUUAGGAUCCUCCCUCUAGUUCUUUAGUGCCAAGACCUGACCCCACCCAACAGCCUGUGGGCACCAAUGCUGAGACUCCUCAGGCCAAACAACUAACUGGGCAGGGACACAGCCCCUCCCAUCAGCAGACAGGCUGCCUAAAGACCUCCUGAGCCAACAGUCACCUCUAGACACCGCCCCCUAGACAGUUUGCCCGCCAGACACUCUGCCCCCCAGAGGGCCAAGACCCAGCUCCACCCACCAGUGGGCAGGCACAGGCCCUGCCCUCCAGGAAGCCUGCACUAGCCUCUAGACCAGCCUCACCCACCAGGGAGCAGACACUGGACAGUAGAAAACCAUGAUCCCACAGCCCGUGAUACCCACCCUGGGACUAGUUGGGCCCCAGCCCUGCCCACUAGCAGCCAACGCAAGCUUUGGGACACCCCGGACCACAUACUCAGUUGUGUCAGGAACUGGUCCCCCUCCCGCCAGUGAUCUGACACAAUCUCUGGGAUCCCUGGGCCCUGCGGCCAGACUCCAGGACCCAGCUCUGCCUGCCAGUAGUUUAGCACUAACCCUGGGACCUGGCUUCACCCACCAGUGUGUGGGCAACAGCCCCGGAAUCUUUGGAACCCUGACUCCACCCACCAGUGAGGCAGCACUAGCCCUGGGGUCCUCCAGGGUUCUGCAGCCAGGUUCCUCAUGACCAGGGCCCACUAACCAGCAGCCAGCAGCAUCUGUACAAGGCAGGGCUUGGCAACCAGCAGGGCUACGGGCCAACCAAGCCUACCAGACUGUCCACACAGUCAGCCCUCCACAAAAGGACCCAUGCAGCCCUCUCAGGGGGAACCCCUAGAGCAUGUAGCUUGGGUGAUGAGAGGGACACAUAGGACAUCUCCUACAAAGGGCCACUUCUCCAAAGUCUAGAGACAUAACUAACCUACCACAUACGUAAAAAUACAAAUAGCAACUUAGACAAAAUGAGGUGACAGAGGAAUAUGUUCCAGACAAAGGAACAAGAUAAAACCCCAGAAGAAGGACUAAGUGAAGUGGAGAUAGGCAACCUACCUGAGAAAGAGUUCAGAGUAAUGAUCAUAAAGAUGAUCAAAGAACUUGGGAGGACAAUGGAUGCACAAAGUGAGAAGUUAGAAGUUUUAAACAAAGAGUUAGAAAAUAUACAGAACAACCAGAAAUGAAGAAUAUAGUAACUGAAGAUUACACUAGAAGGAAUCGACAGACUAAAUGAUAUAGAGGAACAGAUCAGUGAGCUGGAAGACAGAGUUGGGGAAAUCACUGUCACUGAACAGAAAAAAGAAAAAAGAAUGAAAUGAGGACAGUUUAAGAGACCUCGGGGACAACAUCAAAUGCACUAAUAUUUGCAUUAUAGGGAUCCCAGAAGGAGAAGAGAGAGAGAAAGGGCCUGAGAACAUAUUUGAAGAUAUAAUAGUGGAAAACUUCCCUAGCCUGGGAAAGGAAAAAGUCACCCAAGUCCAGGAAGCACAGAGAGUUCCAUACAGGAUUAACCCCAAAAGGAGCACACACCAAGACACACUGUAAUGAAAAUGACAAAAGUUAAAGAAAAAGAGAGACUAUUAAAAGCAGCAAAGGAAAAGCUACGAAUAACAUACAAGGGAACUCCCAUAGGACUAUCAGCUGACUUUCAGAAAUUCUGCAGGCCAGAGGGAGUGGAACAACAUCUUUAAAGUGAUUUGAGUCCCUGCAUCCAGCCAACCCUGAGCUUUUCAGUCAUUUGAACAAGCAUAUUCUAUUUCUUCUUAACUGUAUUAGAUUUGGGCUUUUGCACUUGUCUCUGAAAGAGCCCUCAUUAAUGCAGUUAGUUUUUAAAAUCUGUUCGUUUUUAAGAUGCUCUUGGUGGUGGUACUUACCAAUGCCAGUUCACUGGGAUUACACAAUGAGGCUUACUAUCUCAGUGACAAGAAGUUCAGGGAUGAAGUGCCUUCAGGCGCAGUUUGAUUAAAGCUCUGGCUCCACCUCUCUAUGAUUCUCUUAGCCUUGCCCUUCUCCAUGUAUUGGUCUUGGUGGCAGCAAGAUGGCUUUGACAGUUGCAUUACCUACAGAUGUAUUUGUCAGAGGAAGAAAAGGGACCAUGUCUUUGCUUCUUAAGAGAGGAUUUCCCCGGGGGCUUCCCUGGUGGCGCAGUGGUUGAGAGGGCGCCUGCCGAUGCAGGGGACACGGGUUCAUGCCCCGGACUGGGAAGAUCCCACAUGCAGCGGAGCGGCUGGGCCCGUGAGCCAUGGCCGCUGAGCCUGUGCGUCCGGAGCCUGUGCUUCGCAACGGGAGAGACCACAACAGUGAGAGGUCCGCGUACCGCAAAAAAAAAAAAGAAAAAGAAAAGAGAAGACUUCCCCGAAGUCCCUCAGCAGACCUUCCAUCCAGCUCAUUGGUCAGAACUGGAUCACAUGCUCAUUCCCAAGCCAAUCCCUGGCAAGGGCAAUGGGACCACCAUGAUUGGCUGGGGCUGAGGCCAAAGGUUUGCCUCCCUGCAGCACAGGGUCCCACAGCGGGUCCUACAUUUACCCCUUCCUCUCCAGCAUCUACAGUCUGUUUUCUUUUCGAGUUCCACCCUAUCUGUCCACACAGAGACAACUCCCUCCCAUCUUAAGGAAAAGCUCUUCAUUCGACCUUGCACCCUUUCUAGCCACCAUGUUUCUCUCCUGACUUCCAUGAAAAUUAGGUGGGCUCACGGUUGACAGAACUCAAAGGAAGUUACUGAGGUGUACAGAAGGGCUCUAUAUUCAGCAUCUUCCUCAAAAUGGACAGAGGCUCAAGAAGGUAGAACCAGGGCCGAGGAGGUGAAGUGUCAGAGAUACAAGAUGGCAGUAGACUCCCUGUGAGGUGAUGACUUCACCAGGGGAACUAUUCAAGCAAAGGCUGGAUGACCCUCUCUGGGUCAAUGUAGAGAGCUUCUCCUAUUGGGAGUGAGUUUGGAUUGAGUCUGUUCAUUCAUUCAUUUAUUUAUUCAACAAAUAUUUAUUGAGCACCUACUGUAUGCCAGGUACUGGGCUAAAUACUGAGGAUGCAGCAGUUAACAAGACAGAAACACUCCUGGGGUCACUGAGCUUAGGGGUUAGCAGGGGAGAUGGACCUUAAGUGAAUAAUUAUACACAUAAAAAUAUAGUUACAGGUAUUGUAUAUUGUUACAGGUAUUACACCCUCAAAGUCCCUUCGAAUCAAAGAUUUAUGAUUUUUACGUAUAAUGCUUAGCUCAGUGCCUGGCACAUAGUAGGUGUUCAGUAAGUGUUAACUACUGUAGGUAUUCCCUAACCUUGGAGCCUACGGCAAUGUUUCCUCCUCCAAACCUCUGUAUUAUUUAUGUCUGAGUGGUACUCAUUUGCCAUUCAGACAUACUUUUAUUAUUAAACUUUGAAUUUGUUUAUCUGGUGACUACAGUAAACAUUUUUCCCCCAGAAACUAUAAUAUUAACCUACUAAAUGAUGCUGAACAGAUUCAACUGGUUACAAAACAAGAAUUGUUCACAUUCAUCCACUUCCUUGCCUAUCUUUUGCAAGCCAAGAACACAAAUAAUAAUUAAAAGGAGAAGAAUUCCUAAUAUAUCUACAGCACUUUCCCGCACAUCAGCUUAUCUGGGCCGACAGCAGUCCCGUGCAGAGAGCAGGAAUAUUAUCCCCCCUUUCCAGCUGAGAAAACUAAGGCUUAGAAUAUCAGUUUUCCAGUACCUGGGGAGGAGAGUGCUGCUUCUUCCAGUUCUCAAGCAGCUUGAAUAGAAUCCCUGCUAAAAGACACCUGGGAAUCAUCUACUUCUCUCUUCCCACUUUACAGAUGAGAAACUGAGACUCAGGAAGGUGCUGGGACUUGACAGUAAUCACGUGGCUAGUAAAUGUCAGAGCUGAUGUAGGACUCAGGACAGCUGACUGCCAAGCCCGUCCUAAUUCACCCUUUCCUAAUACACAGCGUGCUGGUCCUUCCCACUGAC
This is a long non-coding RNA of Orcinus orca (killer whale), 6458 nucleotides long. RefSeq lists it as uncharacterized. The transcript is spliced from 3 exons. NCBI's taxonomy places the organism in Eukaryota, Metazoa, Chordata, Mammalia, Artiodactyla, Delphinidae. The record is from RefSeq and is a predicted model, not a curated record.